Carassius auratus (goldfish) is the source of this 404-nucleotide long non-coding RNA. RefSeq lists it as uncharacterized. The transcript has 3 exons. The record is from RefSeq and is a predicted model, not a curated record. NCBI's taxonomy places the organism in Eukaryota, Metazoa, Chordata, Actinopteri, Cypriniformes, Cyprinidae.
GGAAUUAAUAACAUGAGAGAUAAUUGAGAAACAAAAAUCACAAGGGUAAAUAAAAACUCCACAAGGGGGGAAAACUAAACUAGAGCAUGUGGACAAUCAAAUAACGAAGAAAACCUUACUUGAGGUAGCUUGGAAAGACUUGGAAGGACUUGGAAAUUAAAAUCAGGUAGCACGCAGCCUGGACUCAAAAACCAAGUGUUAAACACAGGGAAAGACUCAGCUAAAAUACUAUUAGAGAAACAAGGCACAGGUGACCUGGAUAAUGCUAACAAGAGUAGACAAAGAAGAAUUAAGACAAGGGAACACAGGGGACCUCUAGGGGCACUGAGACAAACUACAGGAGGUCAAAUGCUGACAGUUUGUGUAUGUUUUUUAUUUUUUAUUUUUUUUACUAUCAAAGUCAU